Molecule: long non-coding RNA, 5378 nt
Organism: Mya arenaria
Lineage: Eukaryota; Metazoa; Mollusca; Bivalvia; Myida; Myidae
Exons: 4
Source: RefSeq, a predicted model, not a curated record
AGGUUGAUAAAUUUGAAUCGUUGGCAAAGUUUAGCUCAUUAUUCAAGUUUAAAACAAAACAAACCAACAAACAUUGAGUACACGAAUACGGCUUUAGGUUUUGUUUUUUUUUUAGAUUAAACGCUCCACAUCUAAAAUGUCGUCUGCGUUUGAACUAGGUUGUCUGUAGAAAAGAAAAACUUAUAACACACGUAUUUUAAAUAAUUGCAUUUGCUAACUGUCUCUCUUAUUGAAAUCUGCCCGACGCAUGAAUCAGUUUACAGACUGCAAGCUGGUUGUAACACACUCUUUAAACUGAAUGCUUUACAGCAGUAUUCUUCUAAGCCAAUGUUUCAUUAUCUACUGAACUUCUUUAUUUUUGAACGAGGGCCCUUCAGGGCCACGUUCAUAGUAGGCACAUCAGGAUCGUUACUACAAAUGAUUACACGGUGAAGCGGUCGAAAUAAUGCGCUCAUUGAAUGAUUGAAUACACAUGACAUCUUUAAACUUCAUCAAAUCUGAAUUGAUGUAUAGUAAUGUACACUUGAACUCGUUCAUUUUGCAUAUCCCUGAAAAUACAGCUUGAAAAAUCACAAAAUGACGACAAUAUAUUUAUACGCAACCGCUCUAAAACGGCGAAAAACUAAAUGUAUUGUUACAGGUGUGAGUCGGUAUAACAAAUAGUUACCAUAAUUGAUUAAUCGAUUCCAAACAAUUCUAAAAUUUCCUUAAAAAUGAAAGGAUAUUUAAACGCUAUUUUACUGAUCAAUAAACAAAUGAACAAAGUGAAUGCUUUUUUGAAACCGUAUAUCGAUAAAGUAUAUUAUACAGAUUACUCCGCUUGUAUUUAGCAUAGAUUCUAGUCAUUUCACUUUUCGAUCGUCGCCAUUUUGUAAGCGCCCUGCCUAAGAGUGUCUCAUGGACUUCAGCUGGAAUAAAUGUGUAUUGUAAGUAUUUUAUAAUCAGAUUGCUACACAUGAACGGCUCUAUGUGUGCGUGGCAUGACAGUUAUUGAAAUUGCUUCAUUAUGUACACUGUAUAUUUACCUGUUUAUGUGCGUGACCUACAUUAAUUGAGAGGCCUAAAUCAUGAACCUGCGUGUUUAUUCUAUUAUUAAAUUUGUUUAGAUUAGGAUGUGAAUUUGUGUAGUUCAUUUAGCUAAUUUUGAUGACGUAUAUCAUGCUUUUCGUUAAUAUAUGCAUUCGUGCCGUUCGUGGCUCACACAGUUUCGUGACCUACUACGUAGUUGUAAGAAUCUACUGUAGUGAUGCCAAGUCUAUUGUAGUAAUCUCCCCUUCUGAAUCUCAUGAAUAUUAAUUUUCCACGGAAGGCGACCACAUGCUGGUACCGGUUUUAUACCCUUUUUAAAAUAUAUAUCAACAUUUGCGGAGAACCAUGUGGCUAUUUAUAGUUAAAAUUAGAUGAUGAAAUAUUCUGGGAUCCAGUCAGAGUUCACUGAAAACUAACUGAAAACGUGGUUUUUCUAAAAGAAAAACGAAAGUGAAAAUUUGAUUAAACGUUUUUUUCAUGUUUUAAGGCAAGUACAAAGGAUUAUUUGGUUUGUUUUUAAGCAUGGGAGGGGCCUCUCAUAGUUUUUUAUCACUUUUGAUACGAAAACAACUGGACUAUGAACGUUCUUAGACCAUUUAUAGACUUAGCAAAAAUGUAAACAAAAAUCCAAAAUGGCUGCCGCGAAGUGAAACUACAGUUUUCACUAAGUCAGAUGUUUGAUGAUUAAUGCAUGAAACUGUUGCUGACAGCUUCAAACUGCAAGUACACCUUGUGUAAAUAAGUGUAAACAUUAAGAAUGAAUAAAUUUUAUGUCUAUUCUUUAAAUAUUUGUAAAAAAAAACACCAUGUUUUUUCACAAAGUUUGUGUUCGUCCCCAGUUUCGUACCGUUUCGUUCUCAAAUAUGUUUACAGUUUGUAAUAAAGAAGUGUUUAUAUAAAAUAAAGCCCAGAAAAAAUGCCAGAUUUAGGUUACAUCUGUAGUUUUCAGACUGAAACGUGAUAUUUUGUUUAUCAUCAAGUGUUGGCUUCAUCGCACCUGUCAUGAGCAGCUUUUGGUCGUGGAGCAACACUUAAAAGUUGAACCCAUCAAUUUAAACUGGCAUGCCAGAGAUGGGUUAAUUGAGUAUGUUGUAUAGGCUAUAAGGGCGUCAAUAAUUGUAUGUUUGGGUAGACCUUGUUGUUGAUUUAUUUAUUUUCCUUUCUUAUUAUUUUAAACAGACCCGGGAGGAACUGUAAAGAACCCGCCGAGCUGCCCACCCGGCCGAGCUGUACUUGGUGUAUGCCAACAUGCCGACAUGAUGUAAUUUGUUAGUACUUCAAGAUCAUAUAAUGGAAAAUUGUAUCCAAACUGAAGUAUAAACCAGCCUGGUUGCUGUAGCCACAGGGGAAUCUUCAAGGACAAGAACCAGUGCUGGUAAAAAUGUGGUCUCAUGUGGUUUUCCAUACCGGCUCUCAGCAAGGAUUUAAGAGAAAGGAAUACCGUCUCCAAAUCAUGAUGUGCUAAUAAGCUCCAGUUAGCUGCGCCUUUUUUCUCCCGGCAGUAGUCCUGCAAUCUGAAUCCAGGAGAUACAGCUCUGAAUCCAAUAUUUCAGAAGAAUGAAGAUAAAACUGAAGCCUUCAGGAAGUCAACGCCACCAUGAUAUUGAUUUACUCAGCUCUGAUGUACUCAGCUGUGAUGUAACAUGCCUUCAAGCCACUAUCCGAAGAACAUUCAGACGUUCUAAAUGGACCAUUGCCCUGUUGCCAUGGAAAUCAUUAUGAGGAGGAGUACACAAGCUUUAACUUGUUUUUAAUACGAGAUGUACCACAUACUGACCAUAAACUUUUCGGAUGCUCUGUUUAUUUCAUCUGCCAAUUUCGAUGUAUAGUUUACUGAAUAAUGACAAACAAUCUUUAUUAACGAUGCUCAGCUCUUACUCAUAAGCAUCUCUUACUCAUCCGUAUUCCACAACUAAACAUGCUUGCAAUUACACUGUGCCAUCUAUCAUAAUAUAGCAAUGCUGCAAUGACCACAAUUUUUGUACCAGUUGUUGCUUUAUACUGAAACUUUUAUUGAAAAUGGUGCAUAAACACUGAUAACACAUAAAUGUUUCAUUCAUACAUUUGUACAUGUUCUUUCAGUGUUUAUGUUGAUAAUGUUGAUACAUUUUUCAUGUGCAUUUACACAUGUGUUUAUUGCCAACCACAUCAAAACAUGCAUAGUUUGCUCACAUACAUAUUUCCAACACAGAUAUUUACUGAAUGUAUUACUACUUUACGUUGAUUUUGAUAUUUAAAUAAAACAUUGUACUACUCCUACAAAACACUUUUCAUUUGCUAUGUUGUUUGUUUCCAUGUUCUGUCUGCAUGCAGAUGGUAUUUUCAUAUCAAUUUUUAGCUAAACUAUUCGUAGAAUAUGGAGAGCUAUACUACUCACCCAAGCGUCGGCGUCAACGUCACACAUUGGUUAAGGUUUUGCUUGCAAGCACACAUACGUUAAUAUCACAGUUACUUCUUGAGGUAUCGCAUUUAGACUUAAUACAAUGGUACUCAACCAUCCAACCUACUUAAUUAACCAAGUAAGAUAACUCUUCUUUGCAUUUAAUGCAAAUUAUAGGCUUUUAUUAUAUGACUUAGAAAUUCUGGUUAAGGUUUUGCGUGCAAGCACACAUAGGUAAAUAUCUCAUUAAGUACUUGAGAUAUUGCAUUGAGACUUGAUACAAUGGUACUCAACAAUCCAACCUACUGAAUCAUGUUUGCAUUUAAUCCAAAUAAUAGGACUUUAUUAUUCGACUUAGAAAUUCUGGUUAAGGUUUUGCGUGCAAGCACACAUUAUAAAAAUAUCAAAGCAACUACUUCAUGUAUUGCAUUGAGACUCAUACAAUUGUACUCAACCAUCAAACUUCCCCAUGUAAGAUAGCUCUAGUUUCAUUUAAUGCAAAUAAUUGCCCUUUAUUAUUCGACAUAGAAAUUUUGGUUAAGGUUUUGCGUGAAAGCACACAUAGGUAAAUUUCUCAGCAACUACUCGAUGUAUUGCAUUGAGACUUUAUAGAAUGGUAUCCAACUACUCAAUGUAAUUGAAUAACCAAGAUAUAUAACUGUAUUUUGCAAAUAAUUGCCCUUUAUUAUUAGACUUAAACAUUCUGGUUGAAAUUUUCCAUGUAACUACAUUUAUGUUAAUAUCUCACCACAUGAAUUGCAUUGAAAUCUUAUCUAACAGUGAUCCAUGCAUGUUUCGCCAAAACUUUUCAAUCCUUACACUGAAAGCGGCGGUAUAGUCAAGCCCGCUGUCUCUGUGACAGCUCUUGUUCAACAUUAACGUGAUGUUCAUUUCCAUUGUGAACAAUAUUAACAUCUUUCAGCAUACAUGCCUGGAUGAGUUUUAAAAAUUGACCAUAUUAUGCAUACUUACUGCAUGAAAAUAUACAAUGGCAUACAUUUCAUAUCAACUUGUGUAUCUGUAUGUCCCUUUCAACUACUUAGACGAAAUAACAAACGUCCUAACCCUAAAAUGUUCAAAAAUAUUCUACAUACGUUAUUUUUAUCUUACACUGUAUAUAUAUGUUCUAUAUGUAUAUAUCACGCCUAAUAAAAUGAACCCCACCUCUCAAUUUUCCUGUGUGUUCCUAUCAAUUUGUUUCUGAAAUUCCUGUCAUCAUUUAAAUAAAUUGCUUAUCCUCUCGGAGCCACCGUUCCUCAGCGCUUUCAGCGCUUUGAUUUUUUGUAUUAUCAUAUUAUGUUACCUCCAAGAAGAGUCAUUCUACAUGGCCUUGCAGAAUUUUUAACGUUUCUAUAAAUAGACUGCACAUGCCUGUUAAGCGGGUGCAGAUAAACUUUAUGCAGACGAUUGUACCUUACAUGCAUUGAUCAGUUCAUUGAAAAGUCGUGCACGCAUCCGUAUAAACAGGAUAUAUUAUAGGGUCAUGCAAACCACUUUUUGAUAUGAGGGGAGGGUGUAUUUGAUUCGAGUGGAUUUUCGGCAGAUUCUGAUUUAACUAGGGGCAAGCCGAAUUAAAUCUUAGUCUAUAAAAAUUCCAUCUGGAAAAAUCGAACUCAUUAUUCAAGCUUGAAACAAAACUGACACACAAGCAUUAGAGUAAACGGAUACGGUUUUAUUUUAUUUGACACUCCACAUCUAAAAUGUCGUCUGCAUUAUACACUAAAUAAUUGCAUUAGCUAAAUGUCUGCCUAAUUAUAAUCUGCCAAAUAAUCAGUUUACAGACUUGGUUUAUGUGGAUUGGCACACAAAACAUGGGUUAAUAUAAAGUACAAAAUGGUUGUAACACACGAUAGAAAUUUAAUGCGUUACAACAGUAUUCAGCUAAGCCACCGAAAAGGCCAAUAUUUAAAUAUCUACUGAACUAGUUUAUUUCAUUUUGGAUAGACAUAUUAUGUUACCUCCAAGAAGA